This 455-nucleotide ribosomal RNA is filed under the name uncultured bacterium. RNAcentral's name for it is "bacterial SSU rRNA". It matches the Rfam family "Bacterial small subunit ribosomal RNA", at positions 340 to 786 of the family's 1533-position model. The record is from RNAcentral.
UACGGAAGGCAGCGGUGGGGAAUAUUGCACAAUGGGCGAAAGCCUGAUGCAGCUAUGCCGCGUGUAUGAAGAAGGCCUUAGGGUUGUAAAGUACUUUCAUCGGGGAGGAAAAACAAAACUAAUAAUUUUAUUUCUUGACGUUACCCGAAAAAGAAGCACCGGCUAACUCCGUGCCAGCAGCCGCGGUAAUACGGAGGGUGCUAGCGUUAAUCAGAAUUACUGGGCGUAAAGAGCACGUAGGUGGUUUUUUUAAGUCAGAUGUGAAAUCCCUGGGCUUAACCUAGGAACUGCAUUUUGAAACUGAAAUACUAGAGUAUCGUAGAGGGAGGUAGAAUUCUAGGUGUAGCGGUGAAAUGCGUAGAUAUCUGGAGGAAUACCUGUGGCGAAAGCGGCCUCCUAAACGAAUACUGACACUGAGGUGCGAAAGCGUGGGGAGCAAACAGGGAUUAGAUACC